UCCUGCAGCACAGCCUGGAGCUUGACUCCUGCACUUGGUGAUAGAAAUAAAAACACCCGACCGUCCAUGGUGAAGGAUUGUCAGAGGAAGAGGAGGACACGCCCCGCCCAGAGAACUUGAUUCCAAAUCCCAUGUCAUUUAGUGCUUGAUCAGGGCUGUCAUGAAAUACGUCACUAUUAACGCCAUCCCAGACAUCCAGGUUGCAUCUACUUUGUAUAAAUGCUUGAGGUUUCCGGUCCAACUUCAGGGAGUUUCUUUGUGUCGAUCGGACUUCGUCUCACGGAGAUCUGAGUGCGGACAGAAGGUCUUUUGAUUCCGGUUACAGUUCAUUCCGGAUUUUCUUCAUGCCUUACAGUUACAGGACAAGGAGUUCGUUCGGUGGUUUGUGGUUUAAGAGACAUUGACUUUAGUUUGUCCAGUUUUUUCUGAUGUCGCAUGCGAAAGAGGAGGAGGACUCUCACGGCUCAGAA
Molecule: long non-coding RNA, 470 nt
Organism: Bufo gargarizans (Asiatic toad)
Lineage: Eukaryota; Metazoa; Chordata; Amphibia; Anura; Bufonidae
Exons: 4
Source: RefSeq, a predicted model, not a curated record